AUGACUCCUGCACGCACCACAGCUGUGCAGCACAGUGCAGAGAUGGCUCUCCUCCGUCCAAUGCUUGCCCAAAGUCAUGACAAUAAUUCUCCACUCUUUUUGUUCCUCCAACAAAAGAAAGCAGAAAGAACGUCGCAGAGGCUAUUUGAAGGAAGCCGGACAAUGGAAAAAAAGAAGUGUCCCUUGCCACCUUCUUGUGAUCAUCUAUCUUUUCAGAAUUCUAUAAGCAGGGUGCCACCAAAUGAUGAUUUUUUUGGCACAAAGUUUUGUCUGAAUGAUCUGAUCAUGACCACCAAAUCAUGCCAAUAG
RNAcentral lists this ribosomal RNA (309 nucleotides) under Triticum aestivum (bread wheat). RNAcentral's name for it is "partial small subunit ribosomal RNA". The record is from RNAcentral. Lineage: Eukaryota; Viridiplantae; Streptophyta; Magnoliopsida; Poales; Poaceae.